Molecule: long non-coding RNA, 567 nt
Filed under: Equus caballus (horse)
Lineage: Eukaryota; Metazoa; Chordata; Mammalia; Perissodactyla; Equidae
Description: lncRNA (ENSECAG00000057810.1)
Source: RNAcentral
CAGCUAUAUUUGGCGUAGUGAGUUUCUGGAUGGAAGAAAGAUGAAGAGAUUGGCAGGUGUGGAGUCAGGGACUCCUUAGUCUUGAAGGAAACAUCCAUGGCUUAGAGAGACCCUGUAAUUUGGGAAAUGUGAAUCUUGUACCCAUCUAUUCAGGACUCCUGAAGACAAAGAUGAGCCUUCUGUUUCCAGUGAUCAUGGGCCCCAGAUGAAGCCAGCCUGGGGGUAAUAAACCAGGUGAUAGUUUCACCUUCAGGAAGUCAUUUCUCCUCCCAAGCCUGCUUCCUCAUUAAAAAACAGAACACAGCAAUGAUGUUUGUGACUUACAGUGUGUUGUGACCUACAGUGAAGGAGCGUGCGUGAACACCACCUAGUCAAUGCCUAAUACAGGGUGUGGAAGAGCUUUUUUAACAGGCAGCUUUUUUUUUUUUUUGAAAGAGGAGUUACUGAAAUUCAGGAAAAAAAUGGAAGCUUGUCUGCAUUUCCUGCUACUGCUGAAAAAUGGCUCCUUGGUCUUCAUUGGCCCAAGUUUUCUGCUCUGGGUGACCCAUGAGGCAACACAGUUAAAAU